This 261-nucleotide ribosomal RNA is filed under the name uncultured bacterium. Its description in RNAcentral is "partial 16S ribosomal RNA". It matches the Rfam family "Bacterial small subunit ribosomal RNA", at positions 793 to 1055 of the family's 1533-position model. The record is from RNAcentral.
GUCCACGCCGUAACGAUGACUGCUAGGUGUCGGUGGCAAAGCCAUUCGGUGCCGCAGCUAACGCAAUAAGCAGUCCACCUGGGGAGUACGUUCGCAAGAAUGAACUCAAAGGAAUUGACGGGGACCCGCACAAGCGGUGGAGCAUGUGGUUUAAUUCGAAGCAACGCGAAGAACCUUACCAAGUCUUGACAUCGAUCUGACCGGACUGUAAUGGGUCCUUUCCUUCGGGGACAGAGAAGACAGGUGGUGCAUGGUUGUCGU